RNAcentral lists this small nuclear RNA (332 nucleotides) under Erinaceus europaeus (western European hedgehog). RNAcentral describes it as "7SK RNA (ENSEEUG00000023346.1)". It matches the Rfam family "7SK RNA". Rfam says of the family: 7SK was discovered as an abundant small nuclear RNA in the mid-70s but a possible function has only recently been suggested. Two independent studies have found that 7SK RNA binds the CDK9/cyclin T complex (known as elongation factor P-TEFb). P-TEFb activates transcription by phosphorylating the C-terminal domain of RNA polymerase II. Lineage: Eukaryota; Metazoa; Chordata; Mammalia; Eulipotyphla; Erinaceidae. The record is from RNAcentral.
GGAGUAUUGUGAGGGCGAUCCUGGCUCCGACAUUUUGUCACCCCAUUGAUCGCCAGGUUGGAUAGGCCUAAUCUGGGGUGGCUAGACGGGGUUUCCCUCCCUCCCUCACCCACUCCACGGUGGUCCUUCCCAAAAGCUGUGCCGUUUCGUCACUUGUUUGUUUGGUUGCUGGGUCAAAAGAGGAUGGCCUUCCUGAAUAGGAGAUUUUUGAGGGUAUACAAGUAGCGGCACUCCCCUGCUAGACCUGCCAAAUAAGCUCUCAUUAAGUUAUGGGGGGAGGGGCCGGGGCAAUGACACACCCAGUAUGUAUAUUGUAGUAUGUAUAUUGUAGU